This is a long non-coding RNA of Mytilus californianus (California mussel), 394 nucleotides long. RefSeq lists it as uncharacterized. The transcript is spliced from 5 exons. Lineage: Eukaryota; Metazoa; Mollusca; Bivalvia; Mytilida; Mytilidae. The record is from RefSeq and is a predicted model, not a curated record.
UAUAUAUAAGGUGAUGUUGUUUUGUUGAUCAGUUGAUUUCAUCGUAAAUCGUUGAAGGAAGUUCAGUUGUACUGAAGUGGCCAUAGAAAGAUAAAAUGAAGUUCGUAUUGAUGAUGCUGGUAUUUCUUGUCAUAGCCACAGAUAAUGUGAUUUCUCAAUGUCCUAAUUGUCCUUGUAAUCGGAGAUAUGAACCAGUUUGUUCAAGCUAUGGUGUAACUUUUGAAAAUGAAUGUUUAAUGCGAUGCUAUCGUCAAGAUUAUGGUUGCCGUGGUUCAUGUCCAUGUAUAACACCUUAACAUGUAUCAGACAAAGCACCAAAUGAGACUGUCAGCACCAAGUGAGACUGAUAAUUAAAAUAAAAUUUAUUAGAAUUAAAAAAAAACAAAAAAAACAA